This 495-nucleotide ribosomal RNA is filed under the name uncultured bacterium. RNAcentral's name for it is "partial 16S ribosomal RNA". It matches the Rfam family "Bacterial small subunit ribosomal RNA", at positions 28 to 507 of the family's 1533-position model. The record is from RNAcentral.
GACGAACGCUGGCGGCAUGCCUAAUACAUGCAAGUAGAACGCUGAAGGAGGAGCUUGCUUCUCUGGAUGAGUUGCGAACGGGUGAGUAACGCGUAGGUAACCUGCCUGGUAGCGGGGGAUAACUAUUGGAAACGAUAGCUAAUACCGCAUAAGAGUAGAUGUUGCAUGACAUUUGCUUAAAAGGUGCAAUUGCAUCACUACCAGAUGGACCUGCGUUGUAUUAGCUAGUUGGUGGGGUAACGGCUUACCAAGGCGACGAUACAUAGCCGACCUGAGAGGGUGAUCGGCCACACUGGGACUGAGACACGGCCCAGACUCCUACGGGAGGCAGCAGUAGGGAAUCUUCGGCAAUGGACGGAAGUCUGACCGAGCAACGCCGCGUGAGUGAAGAAGGUUUUCGGAUCGUAAAGCUCUGUUGUAAGAGAAGAACGAGUGUGAGAGUGGAAAGUUCACACUGUGACGGUAUCUUACCAGAAAGGGACGGCUAACUACGUG